CGUGCCAGAUAUUUUGAUGUCCGUUUGAAGUUUCAUCGUGUCCCACCGUUAAUGGCAGUCGUCUUCCGCCACCUCUCGCUACUCUCCCCACUCCCUCCGCCGCCGUCGCCGUCUCGGUCCCCGUCUUCUCGCUCUUCCUCUGCUCGAUUCGCUGCUGCUGCUGCUUCUUCUUCUUCUUCUUCUCGAUCGCCGUCUCCGGCGUCACCAAUGGAAGCUGCGGACAAGUUCAUGGAGUUCCCUCACGUGUCGGCCCCGCACAGGAGCCUGAUGAUCGACCUCGUGUCCGCGGUGGAGGAGCGGCUGGGGUCUCAAUUGCUUCCCUGCGCUCUCCCGCACGAUGUCCGGUACUACCAGAGCGACGCCGGUUCGGCUCGCGGCUCUCUGUACGUCAGGCGCGGCCAGGGCCCCUCCAAGGUUGAUUUUUUGUUAGGAAGUUGGCUAAACUGUCAGCUUCCAACUGGAGGAUCACUCAACAUCACCAGCCUUUCGGUCUACCUCAACAAUUCAACCGAUGCUCCAAAUUUUCUGUUCGAACUCAUAAGGAGCAGCCCAACAUCGCUGGUCCUAAUCCUUGAUUUGCCACCUCGCAAGGACCUCGUAACUGACCCGGACUACCUUUCAACAUUCUAUGAGGAUACCCAGUUGGAGUCCCGCAGGCAAGUGCUCGACAAACUUCCAGAGGCUCAGCCUUAUUUCUCCUCGGCCCUUUACAUACGCUGCGUAGUCUCUCCCACAGCUAUCAUGCUUCGCAUAGAGAGUGGGGCAGGUAAAGCAGAACGCUUGGACGAGAUUGUCGAGAAUCACGUCUCCCCUGUUGCCAAAGAGGUCCUGGGAAUAUGGCUGGAUAAGUGUGCCGCUGUGGACAGAAAUGUGGAAGAGGAGGAGAGGGCGUACUUAGGGAGAAGGGAUGGGAUAAUCAAGAGGAAAACUAUCGAGAUCGAUCUUGGGUCCAGCUUUCCGAGGUUGUUUGGUCCGGAGAUAGCUAAGAGAGUCUUGGAUGUGCUAAGAGAGGUUUAUGGUGUAUGAACUGACGAGCCAUGGGACUGGUGUAGAAAUUCUCUCCCCCUUCACCUGUUCAUGGCGGAACUUCAGAUUGAACCUGAAGGGAAUGAAGGCCAAAGCUUCAACAGUCCCGUUCAGAUCUGUGUUCGGCACGGACAGAGCGAACUGGGCCAGCAUUUUCAAGGAAACCAAGAUUGAUGAACAGGAUUAAGGUUGUGUACGUUCAAACUCUGUCAUGUCAGCUCUACGAUGAAGUAUGGGAUUGAGAAUGUAUCCAAUCUUUCUACGAUGUUGAAGCCAA
Molecule: RNA transcript, 1303 nt
Organism: Rhodamnia argentea
Lineage: Eukaryota; Viridiplantae; Streptophyta; Magnoliopsida; Myrtales; Myrtaceae
Gene name: red chlorophyll catabolite reductase
Exons: 3
Source: RefSeq, a predicted model, not a curated record